Molossus molossus (Pallas's mastiff bat) is the source of this 135-nucleotide small nucleolar RNA. RefSeq annotates it as small nucleolar RNA SNORA42/SNORA80 family. The record is from RefSeq and is a predicted model, not a curated record. Lineage: Eukaryota; Metazoa; Chordata; Mammalia; Chiroptera; Molossidae. The transcript has a single exon.
GAAUGGGUUUGGUUUUAUGGCAGGUCCGUUCCCCUUGGGUCUCUCAUAGUGCCCUAUGCCAGAGCAAACUGUGGCCUUGAACCGUUGCCUGGCCUUUACCUGUAGGCUGCAGGCACUGAAGUGAGUUACACAGUG